GUCCGCCUGGUGCGGGUGGUGCGCCGCGUUGCGUGCGGCGUGGGCGAAGAUCACGCGGCGCUCCGGGUUCACGGUCGCGAUGCGGUUC
RNAcentral lists this transfer RNA (88 nucleotides) under Massilia sp. LC238. Its description in RNAcentral is "tRNA-Ala". Lineage: Bacteria; Pseudomonadati; Pseudomonadota; Betaproteobacteria; Burkholderiales; Oxalobacteraceae. The record is from RNAcentral.